CAUAUUUUACGCCCCUUUCCAAUUACGGAGAUUACUAAGGGACGGGGCCAGUUCCAAUCACAGGCUGUACCUUACGUAGGCACCCUUGGAGGGAGCCGGAUGGUGAAGAACAGGGAUGGCUGGGCCGAGCCCAGCAUCCCGAAAAAUCUUUUCAGAAGUUACCAGACCCAGGACAGGAACCCGGGUCUUCUACUUGUCACGCCGACACACGCGCCGAGUGGCUCGGCGUAGCCAUCUGUUGCUACUCGUUAUCUGGCCGCCAUGUUGCGAUGUUCCUGUGGUAACAACUGGUGUCGCCACGUUUAUAAACUCUCACGAAUAUAUAUAAUUCAGAACAUUCUGAAUUCAGAAAUUAAACAUUUUUCAAUAUUAUGUACUUAUUUUCUGAGGGAACAUAUAGAACGCUGUCCCAAUUUGACAUAAUCGGCAUUUCUCAGGACAGUACCAAAUACUAUGCUGUUAUAGCAUCAUUUAACGACGAUAUAUUCACCCACAUCGAUCUAAAUCUCGUCGUUGAAAAAAUAUAUAUAUAUAUAUAUCAUAUAUUUUAUUUUAUUUUACUAUU
Molecule: long non-coding RNA, 565 nt
Filed under: Androctonus crassicauda
Lineage: Eukaryota; Metazoa; Arthropoda; Arachnida; Scorpiones; Buthidae
Source: RNAcentral